RNAcentral lists this ribosomal RNA (639 nucleotides) under Triticum aestivum (bread wheat). RNAcentral describes it as "partial small subunit ribosomal RNA". The record is from RNAcentral. Lineage: Eukaryota; Viridiplantae; Streptophyta; Magnoliopsida; Poales; Poaceae.
CUUGUUCCUCCAGUAUCUGGGAUCAACAUUAUUGAUUCUAAAUGGGUGUUUAAAGUCAAGAGGCAUGCUGAUGGCUCCAUUGAACGCUACAAAGCAAGGCUAGUUGCUAAGGGUUUCAAACAGAGGUAUGGUCUUGAUUAUGCAGACACAUUCAGUCCAGUUAUCAAGCCCACUACUAUUCGUUUGCUGUUGUCCCUUGCUGUUACUCGAGGAUGGUUCCUUCGUCAACUUGAUGUGCAGAAUGCUUUCUUGCAUGGAGUUUUGGAGGAGGAGGUUUAUAUGCGACAGCCGCCAGGGUUUGUGGAUCCUGAUCGUCCUCACCAUCUCUGUCGUCUUGUCAAGGCGCUAUAUGGGCUCAAACAGGCUCCCCGUGCAUGGCAUGCACGUCUUGGCUCUGUUCUGCGGGCGCUUGGUUUUAUUCCCUCCAUUGCUGACACAUCACUGUUUCUUCUUCAGCGACCUGAGGUUACGAUGUACUUGCUGGUCUAUGUUGAUGAUAUCAUCCUCAUCAGUUCCUCAGAUGCUGCUGCUGAUCGUCUUGUGGCUGCUUUGAGUGGUGAUUUUGCUGUCAAGGACCUUGGUGCUCUACACUUCUUCCUUGGCCUGGAGGUUUCACGGUCUUCUGCUGGGUUAACUCUU